Molecule: long non-coding RNA, 15586 nt
Filed under: Sarcophilus harrisii (Tasmanian devil)
Lineage: Eukaryota; Metazoa; Chordata; Mammalia; Dasyuromorphia; Dasyuridae
Description: lncRNA (ENSSHAG00000021996.1)
Source: RNAcentral
GUUUAUUUUUCAAAAUACAUGCAAAGAUAAUAUUCAACAUUCACCCUUUAAAAAACUUUGUGUUCCAAUUUUUUCUCCCUACCUCCUCCCCUAGACAUUAAGUAAUCCAAUAUAGGUUAAACAUGAGCAAUUAUUCUAAACAUAAUUUCACAUUUAUCAUGCUGCACAAGAAAAAUUAGACGAAACCAGGGGGGGGGGGAGGGGAAGAAGGAGGGGAGGAAGAGAAGGGGAAAGGGGGUAGGGAAUGAGAGUAAGAAAAAAAAAAAAAGAAGAAGCAAACAACAAAAAGUGGGGGGAAACACUAUGUUGUGAUCCACUCUCAGUUCCCAGUCUUCUUUCUGGGUGCAGAUGGCUCUCUUCAUCACCAGAUCAUUGGAACUUGUCUGAAUCCUGGUCUUCACUGUCAAAGAGUCACGUUCUGCUCAUUGUAUAAUAUGGAUGUUGCCAUGUACAAUGAUCUCCUGGUUCUGCUCACUUCACUUUGCAUCAGUUCCUGUAAGACUCCCCUGGCCUCUCUGAAAUCAUCCUGCUCAUCAUUUCUUACAGAACAAUAUUCCAUAACAUUCACAUACAUAAUUUAUUCAGCCAUUCUCCAACUGAUGGGCAUCCACUCAAUUUCCAGUUUCUAGCCACUACAAAAAGGGCUGCCACAAACAUUCUUGCACAUAAAGGUCCCUUUCCCUUCUUUAGUAUCUUCUUGGGGUAUAAGCCCAGUAGAGACACUGCUGGAUCAAAGGGUAUGCACAGUUUGAUAACUUUUUGGGCAUAAUUCCAGAUUGCUCUCCAGAAUGGUUGGAUGUUAUCACAGUUCCACCAGUAAUGCAUCAGUGUCCCUGUUUUCCCACAUCCCCUCUAACAUUCAUCAUUAUUUUUUUUCCUGUCAUCUUAGCCAAUCUGACAGGUGUGUAGUGGUAUCUCAAAGUUGUUUUAAUUUGCAUUUCUCUAAUUAAUAAUGAUUUAGAGUAUGUUUUCAUAUGACUAGAAAUGGCUUUCAUUUCUUCAUUUGAAAAUUGUCUGUUCAUAUCCUUUGACCACUUAUCAAAUUGGAGAAUGGCUUGAAUUCUUAUAAAUUUGAGUCAAUUCUUUAUAUAUUUUAAAAAUAAGGUCUUUAUCACCCUUACAUGUAAACAUUUUUCCCAGCUUUCUGCUUCCCUUCUAAUCUUGGCUGCAUUGGGGUUUUGUUUUAUAAAAACUUUUUAAUUCAAUAUAAUCAAAAUUAUCAAUUUUGCAUUUUAUAAUAUUCUCUAGUUCUUUUUUAGCCACAAAUUCCUUCCUUUUUCACAGAUCUGAAAGGUAGACUAUCCUUUGUUCUUCUAAUUUGCUUAUAAUAUCUAUCACUUUUUAUGUCUAAAUCAUGAACUCAUUUUGAUCUUAUUCUGAUAUAGGGUGUUAGGUGUUAUUCAAUGCUUAAUUUUUGCCAUACUAUUUUCCAAUUUUUCCAGCAAUUUUUGUCAAAAAGUAAGUUCUUAUCCCAGAAGCUGGAGUCUUUAAGUUUAUCAAACACUAGAUUACUAUAAUCAUUGAUUAUUUUGUCUUAUGACCCUAACCCAUUGCACUGAUCUACUACUUCAUUUCUUAGUACCAAAUCAUUUUGAUGACCUCUGCUUUAUAAUAUAGUUUGAGAUCUGGUACAGUCUUCAUUUGCAUUUUUCUAAUUAAUUUUCUUGAAAUUCUUGACCUUUUGUUCUUUUAAAUGAAUUUAUUUUUUUCUAGCUCCAUAAAGUAAUAUUUUAGAAGUUUGAUUGGUAUGGCACUAAAUAAGUAGAUUAAUUUUCAUAGAAUUAUCAUUUUUAUUAUAUUAGUUCAGCCUACCCGUGAGCACUUAAUAUUCUUCCAAUUGUUUAGAUGUGAUUUUAUUGUUUGUAAAGCACUUUGUAAUUGUGUUCAUAUAGUCCCUGUCUUUGUCUUGGCAGGUAGACUCUCAAAUAUUUUAUAUUAUCUACAGUUAUUUUAAAUGGGAUUUCUCUAUUUCUUGCUGUUGGACUUUGUUGGUAACAUAUAGAAAUGUUGAUGACUUAUGUGGAUUUAUCUUAUAUCCUGCAACUUUGAAUUAUUUUUAGUAGUUUUUUAGUUGAUUCUUUAGGAUUCUCUAAGGAAACCAUCAUCUGCAAAGAAUAAUAAUUUUAUUUCCUCAUUACCUCUCUAAUUCCUUCAAUUUAUUUUUCUUCCCUUAUUUUUAAAGCGAACAUUUCUAAUAAAAUAUUGAAAAGUAAUGGUAAUAGCAAGCAAUCUUAUUUCACCCCUGAUCUCAUUGGGAAUGGUUUUCACUUAUCCCUAUUACAUAUGUUUGCUGAUGGUUUUAGAUAGAUGCUACCUAUAAUUUAAAGGAAAAUUCCAUUUAUUCCUAUGCUCUUUAGUGUUUUUAAUAGGAAUGGGUGUAGUAUUUUGUCAAAUACUUUUUCUGCAUCUAUCGAUAAAAUCAUAAGAUUUCUGUUAGUUUGGUUAUUGAUAGAGUCAAUUAUGCUAAUAGUUUUCCUGAUAUUCCAACAGUCCUGCAUUCCUAGUAUAAAUCUUACUAUCCUGGUGAUAACUUGCUGUAAUCUCUUUGCUAAUAUUUAAGAUUUUUGCCUCAAUAUUCAUUAGGGAAAUUGGUCUAUAAUUGCCUUUCUCUGUUUUGGCUUUUCGUGGUUUUGGUAUCAGCACCAUAUCUGUGUUAUAAAAAGAAUUUGGCAAAAGUCCUUCUUCUAUUUUUCCAAAUAGAUUGUAUAGUAUUGGAAUUAAUUGUUCUUUAAAUAUUUGUUAAAAUUCACAUGCAAAUCCUUUGGUGCUGGAGAUUUUUUCUUAGGGAGUUAAUCAAUAACUUGUUCAAUUUCUUUUCCUAAAAUGGGACUAUUUAAGUAAUUUAUUUCCUCUACUGUUAAUCUGGGCAACCUAUAUUUUUUGUAGGUAUUCAUCCACUUCACUUAGAUUAUCAGAUCUAUUGGCAUACAGUAAGGACAAAAUAGUUCCUAAUUAUUGCUUUAAUUUCCUUUUCAUUGGUAGUGAGUUCACCCUUUUCAUUUUUUAUAACCCAACUCUGUUUUUGUAGCAAAUACCCACGAUUCAGAUUUAUGGACUAAUUGACAUCAUUAUCAUAACUUUAUUAUUAUGCAACCACGAUAUUGGGGAAUUGUGAACUGAGAUCUCUUGCCCCAAUCCCUCAAGACUUCUUCUAGAAGCCAGAGCAGAAAUGGGGCACUUAUCUUAUGGACACUUGACAAGAGUAGCUCCAUAGUCCACUAAGCAUUCAUGACCUCAACUGAUCUCCAGAACUCCCUAGGAGGCAGUAUUAUCCCUAUUUUGUUGGUGAGAAUCUGAGGCUCAGAAAGCUUAAAUGAUGUACUCAUGGAAGCAUAGCUAAUGUCAGAGGUAAUUCCAAGCUAUAUUUCUUUAGACUCCAAGUCUGUCAUUCUGUCCAUUAAACCACUAUGCUACUUUCCUGUUAAAACAAAACAAAAAGUUUUGCAUCAAGUCAUUUGCUGGUAUCCACACUUCUGGUAACCAGACAGAACCAGCUUCUUACCUGUGGAUAGCCAGAGUUAGAGGCUAGAACAGAAGAGUCCGGAAUCAAACAGAAGUUUAAUUCCAAAGUGAGGGAAACUGCUUGCAAGCAAAGACACACAUGCUGGGGUCUUAUCUCUUUAGUGUGGCCAAAUCUCAAUAUUUAUACCAACAGCUGGGCAGUGAGCUGUAGACCUAACAAUGAGGGGUAACAGCAAGAAUGUGACAAGAUUUAUAGCAGAACUUCAUGACCAAAUCAUGGGCACUACAGGUACUUGUUGGAGCUCAGAGAAUAUGUGGUGCUGGUCAAAGCAAUACAAUAAUUAUGAUUUUGCCAGAGGGUAAGAUCAUAGAGCAAAUGAGCACAAAGGCAUAUUAUGUCAGCCUAAGGACACAGCUUGUUUGCUGGUCCUUAACUAUAGAAAACAGGCUGUUUCCUAACAUCUUGACACUCCCCAAUAGAAUUGUCUAAUGUAACCAAGAAAAUAAGUUAUUCAAAAUGAACAUAAAAUGGGUGCAGUAUCCAAAUUGACAAACAUUUUCAUCUGUAGCACUACCUCUAGCCCACCUCUUUCUAGGGUUGGAAAGAUCAUGUUUCCUGACAAACCGUUAAAUAUUGUUAUAAUUCAGGACUCAAAGAUGGCUACCACUUCUAACUAUGGAAGCCCAUCAAAUGUCACAGACAGUUUUUUCAGGUCAUAUCAGCAAAGGAAUUUAUCCUUGGGUGAACUUAGCUAGGAUGUUCAGAAGACCUUAGUUCUAUAGCUGUCGAUGGGAGAGGCUAUCUAGUUCACUCUCUUCAUUCUACUGAUAAGGAAACUGACUAAGGUCACAGGGACCAUUCAGAACAAGGAUUUCAGCUGAAUAUUCUUUCUUGCCUUCAGAGUAACCAAUGUUCUCUCCACUCUUCAAUUCUUCCUCCCAGGGGGCUUUUGACUCCACCCUACUUCCUCCAAGAGACAUCAAACUUUAGUUCCCAUCUAAAGGAACACUUAGAAAAAUUGCAAAGGAUUAUCAAGGAAUUCUCUCAAAGAAGGGAAAAGGAUCACUUUGGAAAGCCAUAGUUGUCAUUUGGGAAUCUGAUGAAUGGGAGGUAAAUAUUGGAGUCUCCAUAUUGAAUGCAAAGAAAUGUAUUAGCAUGCUAAGGAGUACCGAUCAUGCUGAUAGUAGCUUCAUCUAAAAAAUUUCUACCUCUAAAUACAUAUAUCAAUAAAAUAGAAAGAGAGCAUAUCAGUGAUUUGGGCAUGCAAUUAAGAAACCAGAAAAAGAACAAAAUUAAAAUCUACAAUUAAAUAUCAAAACAAAAAUCCAGAAAAUCAAAAGAUUAGUAAAACUGCAAGUAAAAGAAAUCAAAUUAAUAAAACUAGGGGGUGGUUUUAUGGGGAAAAUAAAUUGGGUACUUUGAUUAAAAAAAAAUUACCAGUUUUGAUAAAAGGAUGAAUGCACAAUCAAUAAAGAUGAAAUUAAAGCAAUUAUUAGUAUUUUGCUCAAUUACAUGCCAGUAAAAAUGACAAUUUAAGCAAAAUGGAUGAAUGUUUUAAAAAAUGUAAAUUGCCCAGGUUAGCAGAAAAAAAUAGAAUACUUAAAUAACCCUGUCUUAGAAAAACAAAUGGAAUAAGGUAUCAGUGAGUUCUCCCAAGAAAAAAUCCACAGAACAGUGGCAGAGCCAAAAUGGUGUAGCAGAGAAGCACUCAGUCAGGCUGUCCCAAAAUUCCUUCCAAACAACUCUAAAAUAACACCUCAAAUUGAUAUUCUGAAUCAUCAAAAUGUACAUAAAGUAGGAUGAAACUAUUUUCCAGCUGCCAGACAAAUUAGAAGAUUGGCAAGUCUAUUUGCCCAGGAUAGUAGCAUAGGCUGCACUAUUGGGCUACAUUUUAAGCUACAUUUAAGGCUUAAGUUUCAGAAGCUCUCAGUUCAUGGACUGUAAUGAGUCAUCCAAUUAGUCCAAAGGAGAUUAAAAGGGACCAUUUGCUAAUGCUAGAUGCACAUCCAUGAGCUUUCUCAAAUUUCUCUCCAAUCAACCCUGAAAAACAUUUCAGAACCAAUUUAUGAUUUAGGAGCAAUUUACUAGUUCAGCGGAAAAGAUGUGUAUCAUGGGAGUGAGAAGAGAAAACAGUAAACAAUUGGCAGCAGCAAAUAAUCCCACAAGGGGCCUGCAAGUAGGUUUGAAGCUCCAGAUCAAUCUACCAGCAAGGCCCCACCCCUGUUCCCACCAGUAGUCUCUAUACUGCCAGCACCAGUGAAGCCCCAGCCCCAUUUCUGACCAAUAAGAAGGCCCUGCACCUAGAAAGAGCCAACAGUCUGAUCUUGUCUCUGGGACCAUUUAGCAGCAAAGUCCUGGCUCCAGGACAAGCCACCAGGGAAGCCCUCCUCUAGCGCAAGCCAUUCCAGUAUUGAAGCCCCCUCCAUAGGAAUCCAGGAGCAAGGGCCAGGCUGUAGGGUGGGUCAGAAACAAGGCCUUACCCUGAGGGCAGGCCAACAAGGAUGCCUGAACCUGAAUACAAACCAGCAUGGAGGCCCACCUCCAAAGCAAGCUAGCAGCUAGGCCUUGAGGAUGAGUGCCAGCAGCAAAGGUUUGAGCCCACCAUAAGAAGUUUGGCACAGCACAGGAGCAGAGCCCCAAAGCACAAAGUUACAAAAGAGUUAGAAAAAUGAGCAACAAUCAAACAAACAAAAAAAGAACUUGAUAAUUACUAUGAUGAAAGGAAGGACCAAGGCACAAACUUAGAAGACAAUAGUGUCAAAAUCACUAUGUUCAAAUCAACAAAGAUAUAUGCAAAUUGAUCUUAGGCCCAAAAAGAACUCUUGGAAAAAUUUUAAAAGAUUUUAAAAAGAAAAAGAAAGUAGAAGAAAAAUUGGGGAAAGAAAUGAGAAUAAUGCAAGAGAAUCAUGAAAAAAAACAUCAACAACACAGCAAAAAAAAAAAAAAAGAAAAAACCACAGACACACAAAAAUUGAAAAAAGACAUACAAAAAAAAUUCUUAAAAGACAGAAUUGAUGAAAUGGAAAAUGAGAUAAAACAUUCAAUAAAUAAAAUAAUUCCUGAAAAAUUAGGAUUGGGUAAGUGGAAGCUAAGGACUCUGUGAGACUUCAAGAAAUGAUUAAGCACAAUUAAGAAAAAAAUGGAAGAAGAUAUGAAAUUUCUCAUCGGGAAAAAAGAAACAAACCAAAAAAAAAAAAAAAAAAAAAAAAAAAAAACCCUGACCUGGAAAAUAAAUCAUGAGAGAUAAUUUAAGAAUUGAACUACCUGAAAAUCAGGAUCAAAAAAGAGUCUAGAACACCAUCUUUCAAUAAAUUAUCUAGGAAAAUUGCUCUGAUAUUAUAGAAAUAGAAGGUAAAAUAGAAAUUGAAAGAAUUCAUCAGUCACCACAUGAAUGAGAUCCAAAAUGAAAACUGCUAAGAAUGUCAUCAAAAUGCCCAGUUCAAGUAAAAAACACUAAAAACAGCAAGAAAGAAACAAUUUAAAUGUUUUGGAGCCACAGUCAGGAUUUAGCAGCUUCCACACUGAAGAAACAGAAGGCUUGGAAUGUGAUAUUCUAGAAGGUAAAGGAAUGAGGAUUAUAGUCAAGAAUCACAUACCCAACACCACUGAAUAUAAUGCUUUGAUGGAAAAUGACUAUUUAAUGGAAUAGAGGACUUUCAAGCACUUCAAAAUAAAAAAAGCCAGAGCUUAAAAAAAAAAAAAAAUGAUCUUCAAGUACAAGAUUAAGGAGAAACAUCAAAGGUAAAAAUAAAUAAAACAAAAGCAAGUGAAUAAGUUAAGCUUUUUAUAUUCCUAAAUGGCAAGAUGACAUUUGUAAUAUAACUUUAUCACUAUCUAGAAAAUUAAAAGGAAUAUAAACAUAAAGGGCACAGGUUUAAAAUGACUACAAGGGAAUCUCUCUCCGCCCCCUGCCAUGCCCCACAAAAAAAAAAAAAAAAAAAAAAGGAAUGAUAACGAUUACAGUAGAAGAAGAAAUUAAGGGGAGACAGGAUAUGGCUAAUUAUCUCUCAUAAAGGACGUAUGAAAGAGUCAUUAUGAUGAAGAGAGAGGUGGGGGAGCAGUGCUUGAACCUUACUCUCAACAUAAGGAGAAUCAAAAAGGAAACAACAUAUACACUCAGUUGGAUAUAGAAAUCUAUCACACCCUGGUGAGAAGUAAAAAGGGACAGGGAUAAGAAGAGAGUAUCAGUAGAAGAGAGAGCAGAUUGAGGGAGGUUGUGAUCAAAAGUAAGAUGCUUAGGAAGAGGGAUAAAGUGAAAGGUAAGAAGGAAAGAACAAGGGGAAAAUAUGAUGGAGGAGAAUAUGGUUAAGUUAUCAUACCUAUAAAUGUGAAUGGGAUGAACUUGCCUAUAAAAUGGAAGAGGAUAGCAGAAUGGAUUAAAAACAGAAUCCUACAAUAUGCUGUUUACAAGAAGCAAAUUUGAAACACAGAAAAAUACAAAGAGCAAAGGUCAGGACUGGAGUAGAAUCUAUUAUGCUUCAGCUGAAGUUCAAAAGCAAGUAGCAAUUAGGGUGUGAGACAAAAGCAAAUGCAAAAAGAAAUUGUAUCUUGCUAAAAGGUACCACAAUGAAGUAAUAUUAAUAGUAAACAUAUAUGUAUAAAAAUAUAGCAUUUAAAUUUUUAAAGGAUAGCUUGUGAUACAGAAGGAAAUAGGUAAUAAAACUUUAUUACUAAAGGACUUCAAUUGCCCUUUCUGAGAACUAGAUGAAUCUAACCACAAAAUUAACGAAAAAAAAAAUUAAGGAGGUAAAUAGAAUCCUAGAAAAGUUAGAUAUAAUAGAUCUCUGAAGAAAACUGAAUUGGAAUAGGAUUCACAAGAAUCCUCAAGACCAGAUGGGCUCACAAGUGCAUUUUACUAAACAUUUAAAAACUAUUAACUGCAAUACUAUCUAAACCAUUUGGAAAAAUAGUUGAAGGAUCCCUAAUGUGACAAAUAAAAAGCCCAAGAGAAGGAAUUUCUGUGUAAUUAAUGAUAAAUUGAUUAAUUAUGGCUCACAAUUAUAAAAAUGAGGACAGUGGCACUCUCAGAAACCAAAGACAAAGCUCUGGGGUACAAUAUCCUUGAUAUAGUGAUUGUCCUGGACAGGCAGAAAUCAACUCUGGGUUAACAAUUAAUUAGAAUGAGGGCUUAUUCUAAUGAAGGGGGAAUGUGAUGGAUAAUGUUAGUCUCAAACAAAGACUCCUCUCCACCCAAAUCAUUCCCCUUCAGCAAUCUAUACAAAAGGAUCUAUCCUCCACCCAAAACACUUAUGCAGUUGAAUAAGGGGAUAGAAUUCACCUAAGAUAACACACUUCAAUCAGAACUAAGCUCUCCUAGUUUGGAUGUGGUCUCACCCAAGAUUGAAACGCAUUCUCAUCAUUAGCUCUGUCCUUCAGAGGCUGUGUUAACCUAAUAAUUAAAUAAGAAAAUAGAAAGAGAAAAAACCUGUAUCUCCACCCCAUAUUAGUAACUGGUUACUAAUAAUUAUCUUAUUAAAAAAAAAAAAACAACACCUUUUAUGUCACAAAAAUGGUGCUGAUACCUAAACAAGAGUCAAAAGAGAAAAAGAAAACUGUAGACCAAAUUCCCUAAAGAAUAUUGAUGUAAAAAACUUAAAUAAAAUAUUAGAAAGGAAAUUACAGCAAUAUAGCAUAAGGAUCAUAUACUAUGACUAGGUAGGAUUUCAUUUUAUUUAAUAGCAUUUUACUUUUUCCAAUUAUACAUAAAGACAAUUCUUAACAUACAUUUUUACAAAAUUUUGAGUUCCAAAUUUUUCUCUCCCCAACCCCUCCCUUCUUCCUAAAAUGGUGAACAAUUUAAUUUAGGUUAUACAUGUGCAAUUAUAUACAACAUAUUUCAAUAUUAGUCAUGUUACAAAAGAAGAAAUAGACAAAAAAGGGAAAAGACUGUCCUUUUAUUAGAUAUAAUUUUACUGCAUUAUGAUCUGAAAAUAAUGCAUUUCAGCCUUGCUACAUUUGAUUUUAAGAUGUUUAUGACCUACUACAUGGUCACUUUUUAUAUAGAUGCCACAUAGUGCUGGGAAAAAGGUAUAUUAUUUUCUAUUUCCAUUCCAUUUUCUCUAAAUAGCUGUCAUUUUGACUUUUUAAAAAUUCUAUUCACUCCCUUAACUUCUUUCUUCUUUAUUUUGUGGUUGGAUUUAUCUAGUUCUGAGAGGGGAAAGUAUCUUCCUGUAACUCAGUUAAUUCUCUUUAAGAAUUUGAAAGCUAUACUAAUUGAGUGUGUGUGUGUGCGCACACACACAGCAAGCAAUAUUGCUUCAUUGUCCAAGGUACCUUUUAGCAAGAUGUAGUUUCCUUUUUUAUAGAUCUUUUUUCCUUUUUUGGAGUCUGAGAUCAUAAUUGUUUUCCAUUUUUGUUGUUUGUUUGUUUUAAACUUCAACUGAAGCAUAAUAGAUUCUGCUUUACCCCAUUACUUUUGUUCUAUAUGUGUCUCUCUGCUUCAGGAGUGUUUCUUGUAAACAUGUUGCAAGAUUUUUGUUCUGAAUACAUUUGCCUAUUCACUUCCUAUUUUAUUUGAGUUCAUUCCACUUACAUUGUUAUGAUUACUGUGCACUUAAGUUGCUAUAAAUCCUUCUCUCUCUCUUCUCUCACUCUUUCCCUCCUCACCAGUAUUUUACUUCAGACUUCCUCCCCCAAUCUACUUUCCCUUCUGUCAGUCUAUUCUUUACUUAAACCCCUUCCCCUGAAGGAUAAGACAGAUUUCCAUACCCAGCUGACUGUUUAUAUUCCUUCUUUGAGUCAAUCCCAAUUAGAGUAAGAUUCAAUACCCACUGCCCACCCUCUCAUUUUUCCCUCCUGUUGCAUCUCUUCCUGUGAGAUAUUUUAUCCUGUUCUACCUUUUCCUUCUGCUCCCACAGUAAUUAAUUCUCUUUCUGACACCUUUUUUAUAUCAUCCUCUUAAAGUCAUCUCAUACUCACAUCCUCUCUCUAUCUGUACUCCUUCUAAGUAUACUAUUUUACUGAAUGACUAUUUUUUCCCUUGAAUGAUUAUGCUGUUUCAUUAGAUAGGUGAUCUUUGGUUGUAGUCCUAGCUCCUUUGCCUUACAGAAAAUCAUAAAGGAUCUUUGAUCCUUUAACCCUUUAAGGUUGUAGUUACUAAGUCCUGUGUAAUCCUGACUAUUGUUUCCUGGCUACUUGCAAUAUUUUUUCCUUCACUUGGGAGUUCUGGAAUGUAGCUAUAAUAUUCCUCUGAGGCUCUCUUUCUGGAAGUAAUUGAUGGAUAUUUUCAAUGUCUAUUUCAUUCUAUGCUUCUAGGACAUGAGGGAAGUCAUCUUUGAUAAUUUCUUGAAGUAUGAUGUCCAGGUAUGCCUUUUGAUCAUGGCUUUCAAGUAGUCCAAUGAUUAUUAUGCAAUGAUCUCUGCUGUAUCUAUUUUCCAGGUCAGUUGUUUUUCCAAUGCUUUUUUUUUUUUUAUGCUUUUUCUUCUAGUAUUUCAUCUUUUUUUUUUUAUUGAUUUUGAUUGACUACCUCAGUCAUUAAUAUCUACUUGUCAAAUUCUAAUUUUUAAGGAAUUAUUUUCUUCAGUUAGAUUUUGUACCUUUCCCAUUUAAACAAUUGUACUUUUAAGUUGUUUUCUUUAAUGAAUUUUUGUACUUCUUUUUCAAAUUGACCAAUGCUACUUUUUAAGGAAUUUUUUUUCUUCAAACUCUUCAAUUUUUUCAUGAUUCUUUCACAUCACUUUUAUUUUUCCAUUUUUUUUCUUCUAUCUGUUAUUUGAUUUUUAAUUCCUUUCUGAGCUUUUCCAUGAGUUCUUUUUGGGCUCAAGUCUAAUUGCUAUUUUUUUCUCUGCGACUUAGCCAAGAGGUGUUUUAAUAUUUUUCUUUUGAAUCUGUGUCUUGGUCUUCCUUUUUCACCAUAACUUUUUAUGGAAAUAAUUUUUGGAUGUGUUUUGUUCAUCACUCCUCACUUUAAAAUGUGAGUUCUGCUACUGGAUCAAAAGGGAACACUGUCCCAAACUUCUUAUGCUGGCAGCUGCAAGACUUGGCUGUUAGCCUGGUGCUGCACUGGUGCUGCCCUUAGGUCCCUGGGGAACCUUCAUGCUAAGGGACCGUGGCGGGUCCAGUUGCUCACUUGGCACAGAGGAGAGGAGUUGAAAUCAUGGGUGGCUAGUGCCACUCAGUUCCACAGGAAUCUGACAGCUCAACUGAUCCUGUGUUGAAGCACAUGGGGGUUUCAGUGCUAAUAUCUGCCCAUUUGGAAGGAAUAGUGCUGGGACUUAUGGAGAAGUCCUCACUGGUGUCUGCUCAUUCUUGUGGAGCUGAAGCACAAGGGGAGUCCCAGUGCUGAUCUCCCUGUUUACCUGGUGCUGUGGUGUGGUAUGUAGGGGGAGGGAAUGAAUAUAAGUGUUUACUUGAUCAUCUGCUGUUUUAAUGGUGUUCAGAGACUUCCACUGUCUGCUGAGAUAGGACUUGGCUGCUUGCUUGUUGGGAGGCUUCCUGUCCUGAACUGUGCUCCCCUUUUGUUCUAAUGAGAAAAACCUUUUCUGCCAAGCUUCCAAGUUUCUUGGGCUAGAUUAUUGUUUCAUCCCAUCUUUUGUUGGUCCUGCCAUACCAGAAUUUGUUUUGGGGUGCUAUUUUAGCAUUGUUUGGAGGUGAAUAUGAAACAGAGGAUUUCUUGCUUCUUCUGAUAUCUUGGCUUCCGGAAGUCCAGGUAAGAUUUAUGCCAGAAGUGCAGGGCUGGUUCAAUAUUAGGAAAACUAUCAGUCUAAUAGAUCAUAUAAAUAAAACCAACUGAAACAUAUGAUUAUUUCAACAGAGGCAGGAAAGGCUUUUGACAAAAUACAACACUCAUUCCUAGUUAAAAAAAACACUAAAGAGCAUAGAAAGAAUAGAGCUUACUUUAAAAUGAUGAAUAAUAUUUAUCUAAAAUCAUCAGGAAUCAUUAUCAGUAAUCUCUAUUACAGAAGUUAGAAGCCUUCCCAAUAACAUAAGGGAUGGAUCAAGGAUGCCAGAAAUGCUAGCUAUAGCAAUAAGGGAAGAAAAAGAAAUUAAAGGAAUUAGAACAGGCAGGAAAGAAAACUAUCACUCCUUGUAGGAUAUGUUGGAAUACUCAGAGUCCUAAAGAAUCAAUUAAAAAACUACUUGAAAUAAUUAACAACUUUAACACAGUUAUAAAAUAAGCCUACAUAAGUCAUCAGCAUUUUUAUAUAUUACCAAUAAAGCCCAGCAGCAAGACAUAAAGAGAAAUUCCAUUCAUAGUAACAGUAGACAAUACUUGGGAGUCUACCUGCCAAGCCAAUAUAAUAAAAAUAACAGUUCUGUGUAAAUUAUUCUACUUAUUCAGUGCCAUACAAACUAAAAAUUAUUCUUUAGAGCUAGAAAAAAUAAUAUUACUCUGGAAGAACUAAAGGGCAAGAAUAUCAAGGGAAUCAAUAAUAAUAAUAAAAGAUAAAGUAAGGUAGCCUUGACAUACCAGAUAUCAAACUGUAUUAUAAAGCAGUAAUUAUCAAAACUAUCUGGUACUGGUUAAAAAAUAAAGUGCAGAAUCAGUGGAAUAGAUUAGGCACACAAUACAUUACAGUAAAGAACCAUGGUAAUCUAUUAUUUGAUAAAUCCAAAGAUCAAAGCUUUUGGAACAAAACCUAUUUGUAUGUGUGUGUGGUGUGUGUGUGUGUGUGUGUGUGUGUGUGUGUGUAUACACACACAUACAUACAAACAUACAUCCAUAUACAGUAGCUCUUUUUUGUACUUUUUUUCCUUUCUUCCUUCCUUCUUUCCUUUCUUCCUAACCCUAACCCUAAAUGCCCGACUCUAACCCUCCCUCCUUUGGUCUUCUGGGACAAAAUUACUAACACAGAAAUGUUUUACAUGAUUGCACAUGUAUAACCCACAUCAGAUUGCUUAUGUCUCAGGAAGACAGGAGGGAUAGAUUUUGGAAGUCAAAACUUAAAAAAAAGAAAAAAGAAAGAAAUGUUUAUAUAUAUAUAUAUAUAUAUAUAUAUAUAUAUAUUUAUAUAUCAUGGAGUCAGAGUAAAUAUUACAUACGGCUUAGCAGCUUCCACAUUAAAGGAUUUAAAGGUUUGGAAUAUGAUAUCCUGGAAAACAAAGGAGCAAAAAUUUAAAAUCAAGAAUAAUCUAAUUGGGGAAGAUGGGGAAGUAGAUCUGAAACUUCCAAGCUCUCUAGAUCUCCCCACAAACAAAACAAAAUAGCACUUCAGGGCAAACAGAGAGCAGUAAAAUAUGAUCAAGAGUUGGGACAGAACAGUGGUCCUCCUGGGACAACUGGAGAUCCAAAAAAAGAUGCCAGCAUGGAGGUUUGGCUGGUGUGAAAUGUAAACACUUCUAGGCUAGCUCUGCAGAAACAGCAAACAGAGAGCCUUGUGGCAGGCCUGGCCACUAGCCUUUUCACCUCCUAGGCAGAAUGGGGAGUUGAGUGAGAGUCAAGGAGGACUCUCUGAAGGAAUUUUUGCUGAUAAGGAACACCAGGCCCAGCUGUGCUCUGAAAUGUGGCCCUGAAUGAAAAAGGACCAGCACAUGCCCAGUGACUACAGAAGCAGUGGGAUAGGGCUGUGGGCAUUUACAAAAAGGCAGAGUUCUUAGUUUUCAGUUCCAGGCCAAAGAUGAGAACUGAAGGAGGAUCUAAUGCCAGAGGUGCCAUCCCCCUCACCCCAGGACUGUAAAGCUGCUAUAAAUAAAUUUUAAAAAGAGCAGGCAAAGGAGAAGGAAUCUAAUUACUGAAAGUUACUAUGGAAAUAGAGAAGAUGAGUGUUAAUCUUCAAAGGAAUUUACUGAAGUGACAAACUUCUACCACAAAGAAUAAUAUCAAAAGGUCACCUGCCCAAAAAGAAUUCAUACAAAAACUCAAAAAAGACUUUAAAAAUCAAAUGAAAGAGAUUUCAGGGGGAAAAAAAAAAUAAGAACAAUUCAAGAAAAACCAAGAAGAUAAUGAAAAGAAAGCCAAUUAACUGGAAAAGGAGAUCCAGAAUCUUAAGAAAAUGACUCCUAGAAAAUCAGAACUGGGCAAGAGGAAGCCAGUGAAGUUAUAAGAGACCAAGAAAUAAUAAAACAAAAUACAAAGAAUGAAAAAAAUUGAAGAGAAUAUAAACUUCUCAUAAGAGAAACAGCUGGUCUGGAGAACAGAUCUAGAAGAGAAAAUAUAAGAAUAAUCAGACUACCUGAAAGCUACGAUCAAACAAGAAUCCUGAUAUAAGAAAUAAAGAAAAUUGCCCUGAAGUUUUAAAACAAGAGGGGAAAGUAGGAAAAAAAAAAACAAAAAACAAAAAAACCCAACUCUCACCAUCUAAAAGAAGUCCUACAAGGAAAACCUACAGGAAUAUCAUAGCCAAAUUUCCAAACCUCCAGGUCAAGGAGAAAAUAUUAUAAUCAACAAGAAAAAAAAAUCUUCAGCAAAUGCAGCAAAGCCACAAUUAGCAUCACCUAAGCUCUACCAAUGACUACAUUAAAAGACCACAGGUCCUGGAACACUAUGGAAGAACGAAAGAACUAGAGCUGCAGGUGAAAAUAUCAUAUCCAACAAAAUUAAGCAUAAUCUUAAACAACAGAAAAACAGAUAUUCAACAAACUGCCAGACUUCCAGGAUUUGAUUGUAAAAAGACUUGAAAUUAAUAGAAAAUUUGACAUACAAGUUCCUAGAGAAAUAUAAGACUAAUUAUAAGGUACUCACUAAGGACAAACUUGUUUAUACAUGGAAAUGCAAACUAUAUGUCUAAGACUGUCAUUAGUAAUUGGGUAGUUAGAAAAAAAGAUUUGGGUAGGACUGAAUAUGGUGUGAUUUUAAAAGGCAAAACUAUGUAGGAAAAGGUAAAAAGUAAUGGAACAAAUGAGGCACAAGAAGAAGUAACACAGAAGACAUCAAUGGGAGAGUAGGCUUGAAAAUUAUGAAACCAUACUCUCACCAGGAAUGGGUUAAAGAGAGAACAACACACACACACACACAUAUAAAAUAUGGGUAUGUCUUCUAAUAUAUAUAUAUGCGUGUGUGUGUGUGUAUAUCUAGAAGGGUAUAAGUCUUCUAAAUCCAGAAAGAAAUAAGAGGAUAAGGGGAUAGGGAGGGGGAAAGGAUAAGGGAGGGAUUUUUAGAGGGAACCCUACUCACAUCAGAUCCAGAUUAAAGGGAGAACAACACAUACAUUUGAAAGUCUUCUAAAUUUAUAAAGGAGAGUGAAG